AAAGUCGUAACAAGGUUUCCGUAGGUGAACCUGCGGAAGGAUCAUUAAAUGAAGAAUAUGGCAUUCACUACCAAUGGAUGAACAUAUAAAUAAACCCACCUGCGUACCGCUCCUGUUGCUUCCGUGGGGCGGCGACCAACGUUGCCACCGAUGGAUGGCUCCGGCCAUCUGGAGGGGAGUCCCCACGGGAGGUAUAACAUAAACUACUUGCAUCUUCAUGCUCUUAGUCUGUACAUAAUUUAUAAAUAUUAAAACUUUCAACAACGGAUCUCUUGGUUCUC
This 281-nucleotide unclassified non-coding RNA is filed under the name Ascomycota sp. Its description in RNAcentral is "partial contains small subunit ribosomal RNA, internal transcribed spacer 1, and 5.8S ribosomal RNA". The stretch from base 1 to 47 matches the Rfam family "Eukaryotic small subunit ribosomal RNA", at positions 1785 to 1831 of the family's 1831-position model. The record is from RNAcentral. Lineage: Eukaryota; Fungi; Ascomycota.